ACUCCUACGGGAGGCAGCAGUGGGGAAUCUUGGACAAUGGGCGCAAGCCUGAUCCAGCCAUGCCGCGUGAGUGAUGAAGGCCCUAGGUCGUAAAGCUCUUUCGCCAGGGAUGAUAAUGACAGUACCUGGUAAAGAAACCCCGGCUAACUCCGUGCCAGCAGCCGCGGUAAUACGGAGGGGUUAGCGUUGUUCGGAAUUACUGGGGCGUAAAGCGCGCGUAGGCGGAUUAGUCAGUUAGAGGUGAAAUCCCAGGGCUCAACCCUGGAACUGCCUUUAAUACUGCUAGUCUUGAGUUCGAGAGAGGUGAGUGGAAUUCCGAGUGUAGAGGUGAAAUUCGUAGAUAUUCGGAGGAACACCAGUGGCGAAGGCGGCUCACUGGCUCGAUACUGACGCUGAGGUGCGAAAGUGUGGGGGAGCAAACAGGAUUAGAUACCCUGGUAGCGACUGA
RNAcentral lists this ribosomal RNA (448 nucleotides) under uncultured bacterium. RNAcentral's name for it is "bacterial SSU rRNA". It matches the Rfam family "Bacterial small subunit ribosomal RNA", at positions 335 to 798 of the family's 1533-position model. The record is from RNAcentral.